GUGACUGCGUACCUUUUGUAUAAUGGGUCAGCGACUUAUAUUCUGUAGCAAGGUUAACCGUAUAGGGGAGCCGAAGGGAAACCGAGUCUUAACUGGGCGUUAAGUUGCAGGGUAUAGACCCGAAACCCGGUGAUCUAGCCAUGGGCAGGUUGAAGGUUGGGUAACACUAACUGGAGGACCGAACCGACUAAUGUUGAAAAAUUAGCGGAUGACCUGUGGCUGGGGGUGAAAGGCCAAUCAAACCGGGAGAUAGCUGGUUCUCCCCGAAAGCUAUUUAGGUAGCGCCUCGUGAACUCAUCUUCGGGGGUAGAGCACUGUUUCGGCUAGGGGGCCAUCCCGGCUUACCAACCCGAUGCAAACUACGAAUACCGAAGAAUGUUAUCACGGGAGACACACGGCGGGUGCUAACGUCCGUCGUGAAGAGGGAAACAACCCAGACCGCCAGCUAAGGUCCCAAAGUCAUGGUUAAGUGGGAAACGAUGUGGGAAGGCACAGACAGCCAGGAUGUUGGCUUAGAAGCAGCCAUCAUUUAAAGAAAGCGUAAUAGCUCACUGGUCGAGUCGGCCUGCGCGGAAGAUGUAACGGGGCUAAACCAUGCACCGAAGCUGCGGCAGCGACACUAUGUGUUGUUGGGUAGGGGAGCGUUCUGUAAGCCGUUGAAGGUGUGCUGUGAGGCAUGCUGGAGGUAUCAGAAGUGCGAAUGCUGACAUAAGUAACGAUAAAGCGGGUGAAAAGCCCGCUCGCCGGAAGACCAAGGGUUCCUGUCCAACGUUAAUCGGGGCAGGGUGAGUCGACCCCUAAGGCGAGGCCGAAAGGCGUAGUCGAUGGGAAACAGGUUAAUAUUCCUGUACUUGGUGUUACUGCGAAGGGGGGACGGAGAAGGCUAUGUCAGCCGGGCGACGGUUGUCCCGGUUUAAGCAUGUAGGCGGAGGUUCCAGGUAAAUCCGGUACCUUUUAACGCUGAGGUGUGAUGACGAGGCACUACGGUGCUGAAGUGAUAAAUGCCCUGCUUCCAGGAAAAGCCUCUAAGCAUCAGGUAACACGAAAUCGUACCCCAAACCGACACAGGUGGUCAGGUAGAGAAUACCAAGGCGCUUGAGAGAACUCGGGUGAAGGAACUAGGCAAAAUGGUGCCGUAACUUCGGGAGAAGGCACGCUGAUAGGUAGGUGAAGCCCCUGCGGGCGGAGCUGAAAUCAGUCGAAGAUACCAGCUGGCUGCAACUGUUUAUUAAAAACACAGCACUGUGCAAACACGAAAGUGGACGUAUACGGUGUGACGCCUGCCCGGUGCCGGAAGGUUAAUUGAUGGGG
Molecule: ribosomal RNA, 1311 nt
Filed under: Enterobacter hormaechei subsp. xiangfangensis
Lineage: Bacteria; Pseudomonadati; Pseudomonadota; Gammaproteobacteria; Enterobacterales; Enterobacteriaceae
Description: partial 23S ribosomal RNA
Rfam family: Bacterial large subunit ribosomal RNA
Source: RNAcentral